CGAGUGAUGUCUCUUGUCUCACAGAAAUAGUGCUUCCCAUCAAUGUCAAGCUCAGUUAAAUCUUGAAUAUUCUUUAUUUCUCCUUUACCCUGCUGCUGAGGAUUCUGAAGAGAUAUUUUGAUCCAUUGACUCUCUGUCACAGUAUAUACACAACCUCCACCAGGCAAAUUUGGAAUGCUGGCAGUUAACUUUGUAGCUACAAGAAGCAACCCAAAGCUUCCUAGGGCAGCAUAACC
This 236-nucleotide unclassified non-coding RNA is filed under the name Hevea brasiliensis (rubber tree). The record is from RNAcentral. Lineage: Eukaryota; Viridiplantae; Streptophyta; Magnoliopsida; Malpighiales; Euphorbiaceae.